GAUGGGAGCUUGCUCCCUGAUGUUAGCGGCGGACGGGUGAGUAACACGUGGGUAACCUGCCUGUAAGACUGGGAUAACUCCGGGAAACCGGGGCUAAUACCGGAUGGUUGUUUGAACCGCAUGGUUCAGACAUAAAAGGUGGCUUCGGCUACCACUUACAGAUGGACCCGCGGCGCAUUAGCUAGUUGGUGAGGUAACGGCUCACCAAGGCGACGAUGCGUAGCCGACCUGAGAGGGUGAUCGGCCACACUGGGACUGAGACACGGCCCAGACUCCUACGGGAGGCAGCAGUAGGGAAUCUUCCGCAAUGGACGAAAGUCUGACGGAGCAACGCCGCGUGAGUGAUGAAGGUUUUCGGAUCGUAAAGCUCUGUUGUUAGGGAAGAACAAGUGCCGUUCAAAUAGGGCGGCACCUUGACGGUACCUAACCAGAAAGCCACGGCUAACUACGUGCCAGCAGCCGCGGUAAUACGUAGGUGGCAAGCGUUGUCCGGAAUUAUUGGGCGUAAAGGGCUCGCAGGCGGUUUCUUAAGUCUGAUGUGAAAGCCCCCGGCUCAACCGGGGAGGGUCAUUGGAAACUGGGGAACUUGAGUGCAGAAGAGGAGAGUGGAAUUCCACGUGUAGCGGUGAAAUGCGUAGAGAUGUGGAGGAACACCAGUGGCGAAGGCGACUCUCUGGUCUGUAACUGACGCUGAGGAGCGAAAGCGUGGGGAGCGAACAGGAUUAGAUACCCUGGUAGUCCACGCCGUAAACGAUGAGUGCUAAGUGUUAGGGGGUUUCCGCCCCUUAGUGCUGCAGCUAACGCAUUAAGCACUCCGCCUGGGGAGUACGGUCGCAAGACUGAAACUCAAAGGAAUUGACGGGGGCCCGCACAAGCGGGGGAACAU
This 886-nucleotide ribosomal RNA is filed under the name Bacillus tequilensis. Its description in RNAcentral is "bacterial SSU rRNA". It matches the Rfam family "Bacterial small subunit ribosomal RNA", at positions 71 to 940 of the family's 1533-position model. The record is from RNAcentral. Lineage: Bacteria; Bacillati; Bacillota; Bacilli; Caryophanales; Bacillaceae.